RNAcentral lists this ribosomal RNA (468 nucleotides) under uncultured bacterium. RNAcentral's name for it is "partial 16S ribosomal RNA". It matches the Rfam family "Bacterial small subunit ribosomal RNA", at positions 28 to 507 of the family's 1533-position model. The record is from RNAcentral.
GACGAACGCUGGCGGCGUGCUUAACACAUGCAAGUCGAACGGAAAGGCCCUGCUUUUGUGGGGUUCUCGAGUGGCGAACGGGUGAGUAACACGUGAGUAACCUGCCCUUGACUUUGUGAUAACUUCAGGAAACUGGGUCUAAUACCGGAUAUGAGCUCCUGCUGCAUGGUGGGGGUUGGAAAGUUUCGGCGGUUGGGGAUGGACUCGCGGCUUAUCAGCUUGUUGGUGGGGUAGUGGCUUACCAAGGCUUUGACGGGUAGCCGGCCUGAGAGGGUGACCGGCGAAAUUGGGACUGAGAUACGGCCCAGACUGCUACGGGAGGCAGCAGUGGGGAAUAUUGCACAAUGGGCGGAAGCCUGAUGCAGCAACGCCGCGUGCGGGAUGACGGCCUUCGGGUUGUAAACCGCUUUCGACUGUGACGAAGAGUGAGUGACGGUAAUGGGUAAAGAAGCACCGGCUAACUACGUG